Molecule: long non-coding RNA, 719 nt
Organism: Saccostrea echinata
Lineage: Eukaryota; Metazoa; Mollusca; Bivalvia; Ostreida; Ostreidae
Exons: 5
Source: RefSeq, a predicted model, not a curated record
AGGUGCUCAUGAUGCAACUUCCUGGAUGGUGUGUAAACUGUUUAUCAGCAUGUGAAAUCCACAUGAUUGAAGGAGAAGUCUCCCUUGUUAAAGAUCAGCAACGGCAGAUAAACAAUGCAUGAUGCAAUCUGCUCACUAAAAAGAUUACACCAAUACAUCCCAUGCAUGUAUUUCUACCUAUCACCUAUGUAACCUUUGUCAUGCUCUUCAGAGAGUCAUUGACAGGAAAAGGAAUUACCGGUAAGUUGACAGGACUUUACACACUGUUUCUGGUAGCAGCUUAUGAUUGAAUUGAUGGUAGAAGACAUGGCCCACUUAAUCAAAGAUAAUCUGUAUAGAGUGGCACCUUAACCACCACUGGUGAAAUAGAAGAUGACUAGUGGAUGGUCAUCACUUUGCAGCUCACUUUCACUUUCUGCAGCCCAUCUCUUCUCAUCCACAAUCAUUGUCUUUGGAGGAAUGGUGACAGUGCAGUCCUCAUGGCUGGGCAGGUCUACUGCAUGUUGACAGCUGAUACUUGUUCUCUGUUUACUCCGAGAGGCCUACUACACAUUGUACCUCAGUUAUGACUGUACUCGUGCUGGCUUCUAUGAUGUUAAUUUCCUUUACCUGCACUGCGUUAAACUUGGUCAAUUCUGUUACUGUCGAACACCAACAGAUGAAAAUAAGAUUUAGCUGAUCCUGCCAACAUUGUGACAUAAGCAGUCCAAUAUCUCACU